GCCGGGCAUGGUGGCACAUGCCUGUAGUUUCAGCUACUCGGGAGGCUGAGGAAGGAAGAUUGCUUGAGCCCAGGAGCUCAAGGCUGCAGUGAGCUUUAUCAAGCCACUGCACUCCAGCCUGGGCAACAGAGUGAGAUCCUGUCUCAA
Molecule: non-coding RNA, 147 nt
Organism: Gorilla gorilla gorilla (western lowland gorilla)
Lineage: Eukaryota; Metazoa; Chordata; Mammalia; Primates; Hominidae
Rfam family: Metazoan signal recognition particle RNA
About the family: The signal recognition particle (SRP) is a universally conserved ribonucleoprotein.
Source: Rfam